CAGCCGCCGCGGUAAUACGGAGGGGGCUAGCGUUGUUCGGAAUUACUGGGCGUAAAGCGCACGUAGGCGGCUUGGUAAGUUAGAGGUGAAAGCCCGGAGCUCAACUCCGGAAUUGCCUUUAAGACUGCCGAGCUAGUAGGUGAGAGAGGUAAGUGGAAUUCCGGGUGUAGAGGUGAAAUUCGUAGAUAUUCGGAAGAACACCAGUGGCGAAGGCGGCUUACUGGCUCAUUCUAGACGCUGAGGUGCGGAAGCGUGGGGAGCAAACAGGAUUAGAUACCCGCGUAGUCCCUGUCUCUUAUAC
RNAcentral lists this ribosomal RNA (301 nucleotides) under uncultured bacterium. Its description in RNAcentral is "partial 16S ribosomal RNA". It matches the Rfam family "Bacterial small subunit ribosomal RNA", at positions 509 to 807 of the family's 1533-position model. The record is from RNAcentral.